RNAcentral lists this ribosomal RNA (253 nucleotides) under uncultured bacterium. RNAcentral describes it as "partial 16S ribosomal RNA". It matches the Rfam family "Bacterial small subunit ribosomal RNA", at positions 524 to 776 of the family's 1533-position model. The record is from RNAcentral.
UACAGAGGUCUCAAGCGUUGUUCGGAAUCAUUGGGCGUAAAGGGUGCGUAGGCGGCGCGGUAAGUCGGGUGUGAAAUUUCGGAGCUUAACUCCGAAACUGCAUUCGAUACUGCCGUGCUUGAGGACUGGAGAGGAGACUGGAAUUUACGGUGUAGCGGUGAAAUGCGUAGAUAUCGUAAGGAAGACCAGUGGCGAAGGCGGGUCUCUGGACAGUUCCUGACGCUGAGGCACGAAGGCCAGGGGAGCAAACGGG